Molecule: non-coding RNA, 46 nt
Filed under: Schistosoma mattheei
Lineage: Eukaryota; Metazoa; Platyhelminthes; Trematoda; Strigeidida; Schistosomatidae
Source: RNAcentral
GCACUGCUGAGGUGUCCCACAACAGGACGAAACGGCUGUCUAGUGC